Molecule: ribosomal RNA, 306 nt
Filed under: uncultured bacterium
Lineage: Bacteria
Description: bacterial SSU rRNA
Rfam family: Bacterial small subunit ribosomal RNA
Source: RNAcentral
GACGAACGCUGGCGGCGUGCUUAACACAUGCAAGUCGAGCGGUAAGGCCCUUUCGGGGGUACACGAGCGGCGAACGGGUGAGUAACACGUGGGUGACCUGCCCUCAGCUCUGGGAUAAGCCUGGGAAACCGGGUCUAAAUACUGGAUAUGACUCCAUGACGCAUGUUGUGGGGUGGAAAGCCUUGUGCGGCUGAGGAUGGGCCCGCGGCCUAUCAGCUUGUUGGUGGGGUGANGGCCUACCAAGGCGACGACGGGUAGCCGGCCUGAGAGGGCGACCGGCCACACUGGGACUGAGACACGGCCCAG